Tachysurus fulvidraco (yellow catfish) is the source of this 453-nucleotide long non-coding RNA. RefSeq lists it as uncharacterized. NCBI's taxonomy places the organism in Eukaryota, Metazoa, Chordata, Actinopteri, Siluriformes, Bagridae. The transcript has 2 exons. The record is from RefSeq and is a predicted model, not a curated record.
ACUGCCUUAACAUAAUUAUAUAUCGAUUUUGAACACACACUUUUACCUUCUCGUAACAACAGAAAAAUAUUAAGUUAGUGAAACUUGUAUAUCUAGUGAGCAUCCUUUAGAAGCUGAGUAAAGGCGGAAUUUGCCCGGACGUGUUUUUCUGCCAGAGAAGGACUACUAGGAGCCGGAGAAACAGGAGAAUCGAGGCUAUAUAGGAUGAUGAGGUGCCACAAAUUUUGACCCAGCCAACGCCAGUAUUAUUAUUGAGGGAACGGAAGUCCUGCAAGACCUGGAUGUAUCCAGAGCCUGUGCCCUGCUAGGGCUGGUAUAUGCUCUCAACCUCAGCUACCCAAAGGAACUAAAAAAUACUUUUGAGGUGUUUCAGAAAAUAAUUCUUGAGCUGGAUGGUGUGAAAGCUAGGCCGAAGGUAAUGUCUUUAAACAAUAAACUGUUGUAUUCCUGAAA